CAUUUAGUAAAUGAGACAUCGACAAAUGUUGUCGAUGAUCUUCAGAGGUGUAGCUGAAGGAAGUUGAAGUGUUAAGCAUUAUGUUUAAAAAACAAAAACUUGCAACCUAGUCACUUAAACUCAUGUCUAGUUUUAUGCCAAAAACAAAACUUUGAUCUCAAUCGUGCAAACGUUCCAAAUGAGACAAACUGCCAGUCAAGUUACCUUAAUGCAGAAGGGAAACGCCUCAUCAUGGUAGCAUGCAGCUGUAGAGGCAGCCCCAUCUUUUCGGGAGUAUAAAUGUAGCAAGAUGCAAGCAGUCUCCAAGCAAUGCAGCAAACAUCCAACUCUGCUCGUGAUUUAUCGAGGAGCUUGGUGUAUGAUGAAGAAUACAUUGAGUUUGAUUCUUUUAAUGAUGACGACUAUGUCCUGCAUUUUUCAACAAAGCAUUGGCAUUGGCGUUGGCAUUACGGAUUUUUAUUAUCGAGGUUUGUGCGCGUUUGUUAGGGGAAGAUGUCGUGGUGACGGCUACAGGACAAAUGAAGAGCGUUUAAUAACACGUUGCCGUCAUGGGAUCCCAUGUUGCAUUCCGAAAUAGAGAAAAAAAAUACCGCGAGUUCCGCAAGUUCUGUCCGAAUUACAUUAUCCCUCCUGCAGAAGGUGCUUUGCAUGAUUGUUGAGUUCCCGCAGUUCCUGCCCCUGACUGACUGCUCUCACAUACACUGCACACAAGCAUAAAUAAAAUUUAUUGCUUUUGUGAC
This is a long non-coding RNA of Rhincodon typus (whale shark), 740 nucleotides long. RefSeq lists it as uncharacterized. Lineage: Eukaryota; Metazoa; Chordata; Chondrichthyes; Orectolobiformes; Rhincodontidae. The transcript is spliced from 2 exons. The record is from RefSeq and is a predicted model, not a curated record.